AUAUGCUUUUGUGGAGUGAGGUUAGGUGAUGCAUCAUUUUAUCACUCCACAUAGAAUAAUCUUCACCAUCAAACAUAGGUGGUUUGCCUAAUGGGACGGAAAGUAAUAGAGUGUGUUGGGGGCCUUCGGCUUACGAAGGUCCUCAAAAACAGGAUUUAACAGUAUUCCUGGAGCAUAAUGUGUGAACAGGUACCCUCGGACCCGAGUCGGAAUUGCAGUAGGAGAAGCCUAAUACGAAGGUUGAUACAGCGCCGAAGAUAUGAGCGGGAAAGCUUCGGCGUGCUAGCAGAAAAUGAAACCGACUUAAAGAUGAAAAGGCUAUUUAGACCUCGGUGGAAUACUAUAGAAUUAUUACUAAAUGUAAAGGGCAUGAAUGUAAUUUUGUAUGGGCUGUGUCCCGUGUCUAUAAAUAGGUGAACAGUACCCCCGUACUGUUCACGGGGAUUUGACAUUCUGCUUUUGCGUCACUCCUGUACUUUCAUCUCCUUUCAAGCUAAAAGGUACACUUGUAAUUCGAUCUUAUUACUGUUUCUUCGCAAUAAUAACAAGUUGAUUAUAAUAUAUAAUUAUUCAUGUUAUCCUUCAUAUUUCUUGUGUUUUCAUUCUUCAUCAUUGUAUGUUGUGUUUAUGAAGGUAUGUCCUUCAUAACCUUCGUCCGAAUAUCAUUAUAUCCUAAGGGAAAUAAUGCUUCGAAGGACGAAGGAUUUUAUCGAUUAACAUUUUCUGUGUUGCCUUGUUCUUGACUCAUAGCAUUUAAGAACAAGUCCCCAACGAAAUUGUCAUUGAGGCCAUGAUCAAGGGGCUUCGGCCAGGACCUUCAGCUCAAUACUUCGCUAGGAAGCCUCCUCAAACUUUGGAGAAGCUGCUCCAGAAGAUGGACGAGUACAUUCGGGCCGAUAAUGAUUUUCACCAAAGAAGGGAGGAGGCUUUCAGGUUUUCUGAAAUAACCAGGGGCUUCGGAGGGAGGUUCUACCCGAGGCACGUUAGAUCAAUUCAUAACUCUACCCAAAAUGAUGAUAGGGGGAGCCAACAGCAAAGGCCACAGUGCUCCUCACAGGCUUCGGGGCAACAGCAAGGCUCCUUCCGACCACCAGCUCCGAGAGGCAGAGGCGCCAGGGGCUUCGGCGGAAGAUUUGGCGAUCAACCGAGAAGAAUUUUUUGCUUGUUCUGUGGUGAGAACAAGGGUCAUACCACCAGGAUGUGCCAUGUUACCAUCCAGAAGCAAAAGGAAAUAGCCGAAGCGGCAGCACAACAGGCUCAGCCGAAGCAGGUCAUGCACACUGCUUCGUAUCAUUCGCCUUACAUCCCAGAAUAUGUAGGCAACCACCCUGCAGUUUCUGUUGCUUCGGCGAGCCAACCUCAAGCUUCCUGGCAACAGCCUCCGCCUCCACCACCGAUGCAACAAGGCCAGCAGCCAGAAGGGAGCCAAUAUGCUCCACACCAAAGGGACUUCAGAGAACAGUCCGAAGCUCGCACAGUCAACAGCACUGUGCCAGAGUCAAAGCACAUCUAUUAACAAAUAUCCUACCUUGAUAGAGGUCUUUUUCAUUCAGUUUUAUUUUUUGUGUAAUAAAGGACAUUGUCUAGAUUUCAUGUAAUAGUUUCGUUGUUUGCCACAAGGAAAAUAUAUUUUCUCCACAGGCUUAAGUUGUUGAAGCUUAAAGAUUUGCGAUAACAAAGAGGACCUUCGAAUUAUCAAAAAUUCUUCGAAGCAACAAAAAUUCUUCGAAGCUUAAAGAUUUGCGAUAACAAAGAGGACCUUCUAAGGAACGCAGAGUAAGUUUGCCGAAGUCACAAAAAGCCGCUCCAAAGGGAGCGCAGUGUAAGUUUUCUGCUCCAAAGUCGUUCCAAAGGGAAUGCAGAGCUUACAGCGAAAAGUCAACGCUGAUACUGCCUAAGUAAAAGGCGAAGCGCGAAAAGUCAACGCAAAUACCGCUGAAAGUAAAAGGCGAAGAAGCUCCUAAGGGAGGCUUACAGCGAAAAAUAAACGCUGAUUCCGCUGAAGUAAAAGGCGAAGAAGCUCCUAAGGGAGGCUUAUAGUAAAAAGACAACGCUGAUUCAAAAAGAUUAUGUGUUUUAUCGCAGGAAUGUGUGUGCAUCUUCGGAAUAAACACCAUCUUACAUAACAUAACAUCAUCGCAUCAUUUCGCAUAGCAUAAGCAUCAUACAUCAUGUUGCAUACGACACAAGAAAAAUGUUUUGAAAAAGGGGAAAAUCAUGCUAAGUCGCAAGGAGAUACACUAUUGAUCUUCGGAAGUGUAGCUUCGGAGAAUAUCUUCACGAAGCUUGGAUAUUAUUCAUCAGAACACUAUGGAUAUUGUUGUGACAAAUGAAAAUUCUUCUUCACGAAGCAUGAAAAGAAGGGAAGGUGUUUUUUUCGUCAAAGACUCAAAAACGGUACGUAUGUAAAAUUUCAUGCAUCGUAAAGAAUUAAACAAUAAAAGCAGGUAUAUUACAUUCAGGGCUACAAGAUGUCACACAUAUUACAUUUCAGAAGUUUUUACAAUAGUAUUUAAUCUUCUCUCAGAACAACUUCUGCAGCCUCAUUCAGGAGCCGAUUGACAACUUCGUCCAUAAUAGCUUCAGCCAUCUUUUUAAUUUCGUCAUCUCCUUUCGGGUGAGAGCCCGGGGACGCUUUAGCAGGAUCUGAAGGAGGACAGGAUACGGCUACAUUGCUAUUACAAAUUGCGAACGAAGUUUAGAAUCAAAAAUUACAACACAAUAAAAACCAUUAGUUAAUACCUAGUUGCCCUUCGGGCUCUGCGCUCUUCUCAGCAGCCUCAGCUACUUCUCUAGCGUCGUGAAUGCCCUUCUCGCUUUUCUGGAUAAUUUCUCGAGCCAUUUCUCGACCACCAUUAUCCCAAACAUCGGUGAAAAAUUUUCCACCAACCAUGCUAGCUUCGGCUGAAGGAUCUCUCGCAUCUUCAAAGGACAAGCCAGCUUCGGAUUGCGCUAAAAUCUUUACAUGAUCGCAGCCCUUUUUCUCCAAAAUGGUGGCAAUCCCCCUGGCACCCGAGAAAGCACAUAUGUCUCCGCGGCUAUUUAAAAUUUCCUCGAAGGCCUCAGCUUCGUGAUUAAUCCAUUCGAUGGGACCUUCGGGGUUGCCUCUUGUAAAGUUUUCUUCGCUCGAGAAUGCGCCGACGCUGGCGAAGCUAGCUUUCAACUUCUUAACACACUCCAUAGAUUUGUUAUAGCAUCUUUUCUUGGACGAGCGAAGCUCUUCAACAGUUCCCUCUAAAUGAUUUGCCCAUUGGUCGCUGAGUUCUCGCUUCGUUUCUUCAAGUAUGCGUUCCUCUUUGGCUCUGGCCAGUUGUUUCCGAAGAUCUUCAAUUUCACGCUUCUGAGCCUCAGCUUGACCUUUAAACGUAGCUUCGUCUUCUUUUAUUCUAUUUAUCAAUGAAUGUAAUAUUUUAUCUUUUUCGAGACCUUCGUUCCGCAGUUCAAUUACUUCGGAACGAAGGUUGCUCAGGGCUAUAGCGCACCCUUCGUCUUCGGCAUCUUUUUGGGCCCUGAGGGCAUUACUAAGUAUAAGGCCCUGCAAGGAGGAAUGUGUGUGCGUCAAUAGGUUUAAACAAACAAAAAAAUUUUGGUCUCAAGAAAAAGUGCAAAGAUCUUAUUUUUUAUACCUUUAAGCUAUUGUAUGCCAGGCUGUCGGCCAGAUCGUUUUUCGACAGCACCGAGAGCCCGUCUUCUAGUGUUGGGAAUCCGAAGCUCUUGCUCAUCUCCCGACGGACAGAAAUCUCCUUGCUGUCAGGGAGACAAUACAAAAAGUCUUCUUCUCCACUGCCAUUGAAUAUUAACGCCCCCUUUGGAUACUUCAGUUUUUGGGCGUAAAGCUGGGCCUCUUGCUUUUCUUUUUCUGAUAAUUUUUUCCCCGAAGCAUGUCGAACAAUAUAAUCAAGGACUUUGGGGGAUGCUUCGGGGGCAAUAGCACUGACUUCUUCAACAAGAAUUUGCUCUGUUAUUUUUUCUUCCUCGGUUUCCAAGGAUUUUACCUUCGUGGGCUCUGAGGGUCCAGCUUCAGCUUCAAUUUCUUGCUCUGGAGCCUUUGAAUCAGAAAUUUCAGUUUUCGCUUCGGGAAUGGCAACAGUCUUCUUCGGAGGUGUGCUUGAGGAUUUAAUUGUUUCCAGAACAUCUAGCACAUUGACCAUUCUCUUUCUUUUCGGAGUCACCGCUGGCAACUUUUGAUUUUUUAUUGUCUCAACAUUUGCUGAAGGACUUAAAACUUCUGAUAUUUUUGAUCCCUCAGCUGGUCCUUUUAUUUCUUCCAUAUCUUUUGUCGAUGGCGCUUCGGCCAUCUCUUUGGUUUCUGGUAGCAAAAUCUUUGGUUUUUCCAAUUCUGUCCUUGUUGGCGCUUCGGCCAUUUCUGCGACUUCUGGCAGCAAGGUUGGCUUGGUUGGUUUUUCAGCUUCGGUGGCCGAAGGAGUCUCUCCAGUGAACUCAGGCACCGAGGCUGGUUCAAUAUAGCGUGGCCGAUGUGUGAGGACCUUUAUCCUUUUUCUUUUCGGUUCUGGCUCGCUAGGAGCAGUUGCAGCUUCUUCUUUCGCAGAGGUUGCGUUUUUUCUUUUCUGCCCUCGAAUGGGAUAACGGUAGUCAGGGUAGGCAAACCCGAUUGCGUCAAACACCCGGUUCAGCCUUUUCUUUUUUCGGCCUCCGAAGGCUGCUGACAAUGCAGUAUCUUCAGCCUUCGAGUAAACCCCAAGCAGCUCAUCACUUAAAUUUUCAAUGCUUUUUAGCCAGUUAUCAUCUGGCUCAACGAAUUUAUCUCCAAAUUUGAAAGUAUACUUCAGCCUGAUAAGGCCACCUUCGUCAGCCUCCUUUAUGGUCUCUUGCGGCAUUUCCCAUUUCUCCGCAAGCGGCCAUACUCUGAAGGCAAUAUGCUCUUGUACCAAAUCUCUCGUUCCAAUAAAAGAGCAGAUAACACCGAAGGCUCUCUGGCAUUCCUCGGCAGCUUCGUUCAUUUCAAUCUUCGGUCUCCGCAGGCCGAAGCUUUGCCAAAUAGGGCGCAUAAUUAUACCUUUGAUAUCUUCCCGUACUGUCAGGUCAUUCUUCACAUAAAACCAUUCUGUCAUCCAGUCGCCGGGCCAACUUUUCCGAAAGGUUGGCACGGGACAGCUUGACCCAGACCGAGAGACGAAACUGUAGUAGCCAAAAUUAUUGUGAUACUGUUCCUUCCCCCAAGGCUUUGUUUCGUAUAAUAACUCGUGUAUGUUACAGAAACUUUUUGCAUCAGGCUCCAGACCUUGGCUUCUCACGGCCCACACGAAGAUAUUUAGCCUUAUGAUUGCUUCGGGGGUAAGUUGGUGAAGAUAUACUUCGAACAUUUUCAGCACCUCUACGACAAAGCUGCUCAGCGGAAAUCGUAGUCCAGCUUUCAAAAAGCUUCGGAACACUACGACUUCGUUUUCUUCAGGAGUCGGGCAAGUUUUCUCUCCUUCGUCGAUCCUCACAAUGGAUAAAUCCCGGAAGUAUCUUCCCCUCAUGUUGACAAGAUGAUUUUCUUUGAUACCUGAUUUCCCAAAAACUGAAUGGCUUGGUCGCCAGGGGCGAUCUUCGGAGUCUUCACCACCACUAUCCACAUCAUAACUGUCGCUGUCAUCAGUAUCUUCAGACAAACCUUCUAAAAUCUCUUUCGUAAUUUUUUCUGUGUUGGUCUUCGACAUUGCUAUCAGGAACCCCAGGUUCUUCUCUUCAUCGAGACUCAGCUUCAUCUCGGCAGCAGCCUUCUUAUCUUCAGACAUCUUCGGAAGCACUAAAAAACUGUUUUCAAUGCCGAAGCUUCAAAACUUAAAAGCUAAGCAAAUCUUGGUGCGCAGGAGCUAAAAAUUGAGUGAGCGGGAGCAGAUGGCAAGAGAGCGUGCCAAAUAAGCUUGCGGUAUGAUCUUAUUUAUACGCCCAGUGCGUUGAAAAUUGAAAGACCCCGUCUGUCAGUGAAUGUUGCUAUUUUAGCAAAGGGAAUGUGUUUUUUCGGACCUUCGGCUUAAAGCCUUCGUCCAUGUCGCAAUCUAAAUUUAUUAUUUUAAAAUAAAUUAAUAUUGCGAGGGGCUACUGUUGGGGGCCUUCGGCUUACGAAGGUCCUCAAAAACAGGAUUUAACAGUAUUCCUGGAGCAUAAUGUGUGAACAGGUACCCUCGGACCC
RNAcentral lists this long non-coding RNA (6139 nucleotides) under Zea mays. RNAcentral describes it as "long non-coding RNA (ZMAY_LNC004950)". Lineage: Eukaryota; Viridiplantae; Streptophyta; Magnoliopsida; Poales; Poaceae. The record is from RNAcentral.